Neolamprologus brichardi is the source of this 326-nucleotide non-coding RNA. The record is from RefSeq and is a predicted model, not a curated record. NCBI's taxonomy places the organism in Eukaryota, Metazoa, Chordata, Actinopteri, Cichliformes, Cichlidae.
ACUGCCGGCGCUCUCCCACAAGACUUCUGACUUCAGGCAUACUAACAACUGGCGCCGCUCAGGCUGCUUGCGAAUUCGCAAAGGACCCACCGAUUUCGACAACAGCUGGCGCCUUUUUCCUUAUAUCCAUAUCAAAACGACUCUGAAAUAAGUGUGCUCAACGCCUCUCUUUCUGACUCUCUCGAUCAAAAUGAUCUAGCAGACUUUGAGAGGUUUCUUUUUUCCAGUUCGCCGAGUUUGUCUCCGCCAGUGCUCCAACGCUCGACUGGAAAGAAUAUACGGCUAUCGACCCGUGAAAGACAAGAACUGCUUUCUACGCUGGGUCG